Molecule: non-coding RNA, 27 nt
Filed under: Rattus norvegicus (Norway rat)
Lineage: Eukaryota; Metazoa; Chordata; Mammalia; Rodentia; Muridae
Source: RNAcentral
UGAUGGGUGACCUCGAUUGUCAGCUGU